UGGGGAAUAUUGCACAAUGGGCGCAAGCCUGAUGCAGCCAUGCCGCGUGUAUGAAGAAGGCCUUCGGGUUGUAAAGUACUUUCAGCGGGGAGGAAGGCGAUAAGGUUAAUAACCUUGUCGAUUGACGUUACCCGCAGAAGAAGCACCGGCUAACUCCGUGCCAGCAGCCGCGGUAAUACGGAGGGUGCAAGCGUUAAUCGGAAUUACUGGGCGUAAAGCGCACGCAGGCGGUCUGUCAAGUCGGAUGUGAAAUCCCCGGGCUCAACCUGGGAACUGCAUUCGAAACUGGCAGGCUAGAGUCUUGUAGAGGGGGGUAGAAUUCCAGGUGUAGCGGUGAAAUGCGUAGAGAUCUGGAGGAAUACCGGUGGCGAAGGCGGCCCCAUGGACAAAGACUGACGCUCAGGUGCGAAAGCGUGGGGAGCAAACA
RNAcentral lists this ribosomal RNA (427 nucleotides) under uncultured bacterium. Its description in RNAcentral is "partial 16S ribosomal RNA". It matches the Rfam family "Bacterial small subunit ribosomal RNA", at positions 355 to 774 of the family's 1533-position model. The record is from RNAcentral.